RNAcentral lists this ribosomal RNA (253 nucleotides) under uncultured bacterium. Its description in RNAcentral is "partial 16S ribosomal RNA". It matches the Rfam family "Bacterial small subunit ribosomal RNA", at positions 524 to 776 of the family's 1533-position model. The record is from RNAcentral.
UACGGAGGGUGCGAGCGUUAUCCGGAUUCACUGGGUUUAAAGGGUGCGUAGGUGGGAAUGUAAGUCAGUGGUGAAAUCUCCGUGCUUAACACGGAAACUGCCAUUGAUACUAUGUUUCUUGAAUUUUCUGGAGGUUAGCGGAAUAUGUCAUGUAGCGGUGAAAUGCUUAGAUAUGACAUAGAACACCGAUUGCGAAGGCAACUAACUACAGGGAUAUUGACACUGAGGCACGAAAGCGUGGGGAUCAAACAGG